Zeugodacus cucurbitae (melon fly) is the source of this 2267-nucleotide long non-coding RNA. RefSeq lists it as uncharacterized. The transcript is spliced from 3 exons. Lineage: Eukaryota; Metazoa; Arthropoda; Insecta; Diptera; Tephritidae. The record is from RefSeq and is a predicted model, not a curated record.
AAUUUUCAAAAAUUUCCUACAGGGUCUAUUUAAACAGCGCAGCUAUAUAAUUAGGGAAUAUUACCAACAAAUACUCUUAAUCGUUAUGAUUAUACUUGUGUACAUGUGGAAACCGUUUGUCGGAGAAAUGACAAUGCACUGAACUGUCAGUUCGUGAUAAGAAUGAGAGGGAGAGCGUGAAAUCAAAGCGGGUACGGUUAAAGACCUGUUGAAAAAUAUACAUAAAUUAUUAUUUACAGAUUUUUUUUUUGAAACCCUCGCCUGUGUAGAUAAAUGUAGAAAUUUAUAGCCUAUAGUUUUCUAGAAUUCUAACGAAACGUUAUCAAAUAACGGAUUGAGAACGGGGAAGCAGAGCAAAAAAGCCAUACACAACUGCUUACAAGUCUCACGGGCUGGACAAUUGUAAUCGCAGUGUACAACGUUCAUAACACGGAAAUACAGGCGUACCAAGCAUUUGUCGGGUAUUAACAUAUACGAAAAAAAAGUUAUAAAAAGUCACUACAACAACAUAAAAAGUAUUUACAACAACACCAACAAAAUGUGGUAGCAAAAAGCUCGUAACAAAUGAAUAUGUAAAUCGCUGUUAAAUGCCGCUUCAGCGCGAAAAUGAAAUCUAAAAAGCAGAGGUCGAUACAAAUGAUCUUAGGUACUAAAUUCAAAUUUGAUAUGGCUUGCUGCAGCAUUACUCAACUCGAGCCCAACUGUUCUAUCUCAAAUAAACACAAUUUAGCACGGAGCAGAAGCGAUAACGAGCACUCCACUCCUUGAUGUUGUUGGGUCGCAGGGGAACCUGAGAAGCUGCACGGCACGACUCAGUUAUUAUCGCUCGAGACUAAAAUAUUAUAUUAAAUGUCGCCCAGAGGGCAGAUAUAAACAAAAGAAAUUGAAAUGUGCAGUCAACGAAGCGAACGCGGCGCAGAACGGAAACGGAAAGCAACAGGCCGUCGAACAGACGGUGAUGAAGAAACGAAACAAAUUAGUAAAACAACAAGAGCAAAGCAAAAUAAAGCAAAAAUUAGUUGGAACAGUGAAGGGAAAGAGUUUAAGAAAAUAAAAAAAAAAUAUUUAAAACAAAAUGAAAAAAAAAAUAAAAAAAUUUGAAAUAAAAAAAUAUAAAAUUUUUUAAGAAAUUAAAAAAAAAAAAAAUUAAAUUAAAAAAUAGAGAUUAUAAAGCACAAAUACAAAAAAAUAAAAAAAACAAUUCAAAAUAAUUACUAACAACAACAAAUUGGCCGAUAAGGCCUGAAAGUAUGUAUGUAAUGCGCCUAACGGCAGAAGCUGGACUUCAACAACAUUCUUAUGUAUACAAAAUGUAUAAAUAAACGAUAAGGACAACAAAAAAUAUGAAUUUGCGCGACUGAGAUAAGCAGCAAAUAAAUAUUGAAGGGAAAAAUAAUUAAAAAAUAUUAUUGCAAAAAAUAGCAAUUUUAAGUAAAAAACAAGUUUGCCUUCUCUACUCAGUUCGCCGCUUAUUAUUGUUGUUUUAUACACUACGCUUUUGCAUUGCAAUUUUUGCGGUGGAUGCUGUACAACGGCCGUUGUUUGUAUACAUUGCAUUUCGCUUUGUUGUUACUGUUAUUAUUGUUGUUGUUGUCAUUAAUCUGUUUACUGACGACGCUGAAAUGUCGUUUGCGAAAAGCGCACAAAAUGUGAUUGUCACCGGGCGCACACAGCAACAACAAACAAAAAACAACAAUAACAACAAAGAAAAAUAGCAACAAAAACAACAACAACAACGACUGCAAACAAUACACAGCAAAUGGCAUCGCCAACGGGUCAAACGGCGCAUUAUUUCAUACAAAAAACAGGCAGACAGGCAUACAGCAGCCUGUGCGACAGCAGACGGUGGGUUGAGCAGGAGGUGCAGUUAGCCCCCUUCCUCCUCCUCCGCAGUUACUCAGAACUCAUGCUAGAGUGCAUUUAAAAGUUUCUUGUUCAGUUAUACGCGCUACGCACAGAUUGUUUGCGCGAAGCAAAGGAAAGGGGAAAAAACGCGAAAACGCAAAAAAAGUGCAGAAAUACUGCGCUGAAAUGGAUAAGGAAGAGCGCGAACUUUUAAUUAUUUACAGCACAUAUUCGGUGUAGAAAAUUGUGCAAAGCAAGUGUGCAAAGUAAAUGAAACAAUAAUAGCAAAGUGGGAUUUUAAAGCGCGUUGACACUGGUUUACAGAUUUUAAAAUUUUGAAAAAAUUAAAUUAAAAAAAAUUGAAAAAAAAAUUUUUUUUUGGAAAAAUAUUAUUUUUUAUUAUAGUUAAAUAUUUUUUUUAU